UACAGAGGGGGCAAGCGUUGUUCGGAAUUACUGGGCGUAAAGGGCGCGUAGGCGGCCUUCUAAGUCGAACGUGAAAUCCCCGGGCUCAACCCGGGAACUGCGUCCGAUACUGGAAGGCUUGAAUCCGGGAGAGGGAUGCGGAAUUCCAGGUGUAGCGGUGAAAUGCGUAGAUAUCUGGAGGAACACCGGUGGCGAAGGCGGGUCUCUGGACAGUUCCUGACGCUGAGGCACGAAGGCCAGGGGAGCAAACGGG
This 253-nucleotide ribosomal RNA is filed under the name uncultured bacterium. RNAcentral describes it as "partial 16S ribosomal RNA". It matches the Rfam family "Bacterial small subunit ribosomal RNA", at positions 524 to 776 of the family's 1533-position model. The record is from RNAcentral.